This 596-nucleotide ribosomal RNA is filed under the name uncultured Clostridium sp. RNAcentral's name for it is "bacterial SSU rRNA". It matches the Rfam family "Bacterial small subunit ribosomal RNA", at positions 108 to 723 of the family's 1533-position model. The record is from RNAcentral. Lineage: Bacteria; Bacillati; Bacillota; Clostridia; Eubacteriales; Clostridiaceae.
GAGUAACGCGUGGGUAACCUGCCCUGUACACACGGAUAACAUACCGAAAGGUAUGCUAAUACGAGAUAAUAUGCUUUUAUCGCAUGGUAGAAGUAUCAAAGCUUUUGCGGUACAGGAUGGACCCGCGUCUGAUUAGCUAGUUGGUAAGGUAACGGCUUACCAAGGCGACGAUCAGUAGCCGACCUGAGAGGGUGAUCGGCCACAUUGGAACUGAGACACGGUCCAAACUCCUACGGGAGGCAGCAGUGGGGAAUAUUGCACAAUGGGCGAAAGCCUGAUGCAGCAACGCCGCGUGAGCGAUGAAGGCCUUCGGGUCGUAAAGCUCUGUCCUCAAGGAAGAUAAUGACGGUACUUGAGGAGGAAGCCCCGGCUAACUACGUGCCAGCAGCCGCGGUAAUACGUAGGGGGCUAGCGUUAUCCGGAAUUACUGGGCGUAAAGGGUGCGUAGGUGGUUUCUUAAGUCAGAGGUGAAAGGCUACGGCUCAACCGUAGUAAGCCUUUGAAACUGGGAAACUUGAGUGCAGGAGAGGAGAGUGGAAUUCCUAGUGUAGCGGUGAAAUGCGUAGAUAUUAGGAGGAACACCAGUUGCGAAGGCG